Long non-coding RNA from Leptopilina boulardi, 5485 nucleotides. RefSeq lists it as uncharacterized. Lineage: Eukaryota; Metazoa; Arthropoda; Insecta; Hymenoptera; Figitidae. The transcript has 2 exons. The record is from RefSeq and is a predicted model, not a curated record.
UGCCGUAAAUGAUUUAUUUAUUUAUUUAUACAUUGUUUAAGAUCAAUUAAUUAUACAUGAGAGACGUAAUUUCACGUCCAUUGUAUCAACAGUAUUAUGUAAAAUGAAGAAAAUCAAAAAUAUCGGCCAAUAAUUUUUUUUUUUCUCAUCAUAAUAUUUGACAGUGAGAUUAUAUUUAAUUUGAAGGAGUAAAAGUUUCAUAUAUAAUAUUAUAUCUUAAAUUGUAAAAGAAAUUAUAUUGGCUAAAGAAAAAUUAUAGCGAUAUUGAAUUUUUUUUUUUGAAAUAUGUAUAAAAAAAUUUAUUUUAUUUAAAUAAUUCAUUAUUUUAAAUAAAUAAAUUUUUUUCCCAAUAUAAUUAUUUCAUUACAUUUUAUAUUCUUCUUUGAAAUAACAAAUUUUUUUUUUUAUCAACAAAAACAUAAUUAUUUUCAAAAUGUCGAUACUUUUUUUUUUACAUAAACAUAUAUAAUAUUUAAUAAAUUUGAAACAGCUCAUCGAAAAAUUUAAGCCUAUAAAAACAUUAUUUUCAUACACCAAAUAAUUGUAAUUUUUUUUUUUUUUUUUUUUUUUUUGAACGUUUGAUACUUCUCUGCAGACAUACCAAAAUAGUAAAAACAAAAUGCAUUUAAAAAAAUCAUUUUUUGUCACUUUUUUUAUAAUAUAGAAUUUUAUUCCAUUUUUUUAUAAUUUAAAAUUUUUUUAUUUUUUUCUGUUAGCAAAUUUUUUUUUUCUUUAAACGUGACAAAUGAUGAUUAUUUCAAAAUACAAUGUGUUUAACUAUUUACAUAUAACAGUCUUAGAAAUUGUAUUCUUUUAUAAUAACACAUUCAUCAUUUUAAUUUUUUCUGCGUUUCAAGAAAAAAAAAUUUUUUAAUUUUAAAUAAUAUAUUACAUUGCAUUUUAUUAUUUAACAUUAGUCUUAAAAUACAGUCAAGCAAAAAAGAUGUAAUAUAUAUAUUUUUUUUAAAUUGAAUUUGAAAAAAAUUUUUUUGUAAAUUUAUUUUGAAGCUUAUAUUUUAUUUUCUAAAACAGAAAAAUAUCCAGUUGCAUGCUUAAUUAGACAUGAUAAGUUUAUCAAUAUAUAAGACAUUAUAUCUUUUUUUUUUUUUUAAUAUCAUUUUUCCAAGGAUAAUCUAAAAAUGGGACAUUGACAAAAAUUGUAUAUUUUCAUUUCUUGCCGAAACUACUUUUCAUUAUUUUUUUUUUUUUUAUGUAUAUAUAAUUUAUACGACAAAUGUCAAAAAAUUUAAGUCUCAAAUAUUUGUAUAAUAUAAUGAAUAUAUCUUGCACAUUUUAUUUAUUUAUUUUAUUUUUUUUUUUAAUAUAAGCGAAGUUUAUAACAAAUAUAGUUAGAGAAAAAAAUUGUAUUUUUUUUUUCUUUUAUUCUAUUGAUGAAUAAUCAAUGGACUUAGGCGAAGAAGAUAAAGAUAUAUUUAUUUAUUAUAUAGAUGUACCACAUUGUUAUUAAUAUUGUUGUGUAAUAAUAAUCUGUAAUAUAUCCUAGCAUCCAGGCAGAUAGUUUAUAACACUCGAUAUAAUAUUAUCGUCGAUAUAUUAUCAUUUUUCUAACGUCAGCAUGGACGAAUUUUUUUUUUUUUCAAUAAUCUGUAUUAAUAAUUAUAAUUUUAAUAAAGAAAAAAAACAUUGUCCAUUACACGACGCGAUGUUUUAAAAAGGGUAUUUUUCAAAAAAAAAAAAAUUACCAUUUUUCUCACGCAUUCUAUAAUUUUAAUUUUUUUGUCUUUAAUUAAUUCAAUUUAUUUUUAUAUUAAUUCAAAUUUAUUUUCAAUAAAUUUAAUUUAAUAUAAUAUAAAUAUCCAAAAAUUAAUUAAUUAAUAAAAAUAGACAAAAUUUUUGCAUUAAUAAUUAAUAUAUAAUUUUUCGAUAUUUCGAUUUAAACGUGAAAUGUGCGAAAAUUUGAACAAUGUUAAACAUAAUUUUUUUUUUAUACCCUAUAGAAUACAACAACUCCUGCUUAUAUCAGUCUAUAAACAAACUAAAAAUUAAAACAAAAAAUUCAAUUUGUGACUAUAAAAUUUAUACAAUGAAAAAUAAAAUUAGCGAUUAAAAGAAAAAUAUUCAGUAUAUAAAAUAAAUUCAAUUACAAAUGUUUUCAUAAACAAUUUUACUUAACAUAUUCAAAAAAACGUCGAAUAUUUAAUUUUAAAAUGAAAAUUAAUAUUUCUUUUUCCAAAAGUAAAAAAAAAAAAUUCUCUUCUUGUAUACAUUUGCCGAAGAUUUUUGCUUUUUUUUUUGAGUGGAAUGAGUAUACUACUUGGAAAUAUAUACGUAUGCGUAAAAGUCUCAUAAAAAUUAAGAAAAAAAAAAAAAAAAAAAAAAAUGCAUUUUGUGUAGAUGUGUUUUCGUCACUUGAAACCGCAUAGAGGCGCUUUAUGUAUAGAAACUUGUAAUACUGGUCGUUAAGUAUCUCGAUCUUUAAAAACUCUUUUUUAAUUUGAAAAUUUUCUCAAUUUAAAUAUAAAAACAAAUCCAAGUUCAAAAAAAAAUUCGAAUUUAAAUUAUAAAAAUAUAAAAGAAAUUUACAGAAAUAAAAAAAAAUUAAAUUAUAGAAACAGAAAUAAAAAAAAAACCUGAAUAAAAAUUUGUAAAUAAACAUAAAAAAUAAUUAACAUUUUUUCAAUAUUAUUUGCAUUCUUCUUUAACAUUUUUUAAAAUAUUUUCCUAAUUUUUUGUCGAUUAAAAAAAAAAAUUGCUUCACUCACAAACAUUUAAUUAUCAUAUCUGAUAUAAUUAUCCUAUUAAUUAAUAAAUUUUCAAAGGACAUCUAUUUUCGAGAUUAACUUGGAAAAGUGAAAUUUAACAUUUUAAAUAAGAUCGGAUCGAGAAUCUUGUUAAUAGUUUGAUUCGUCACAAAGAUUAAUUAUUAUUUGAGACAAAAUUGUCCAUUAUUCGGCGACUCAAGCAAAUUUCAUAGAUCACGAUUCGAUUUUUUUUUUUCUUUUUUUUUUUUAAUGCUCAGAGAAUACUUUUCUAUCUCACACAUUCUUUCUCGCACUAUUUUUUUUUAAUAUUCGUUCACUCGAUUUCUCUCUCUCUCGUUCGCUCUUUUUUUAUCAUCUCCAUUGAGAGUAUCUCCCUAUAAGAUUUUUUAUAUUUUGUUUUUAUUAUUUUUUAUUUAUUUUUUAUCACAGAUGUUUAACUUGCUCGCCCUUACAAAUUUGUGGCAGCCCACUCGGAUCUAUAUAUGUAUAUUCUAUUCUGUUAUUAUUUGUCACACCUCAAAACUCGGAUCACAGCUCUUAAUUCGCGAAUCUUCAAUCUUAUAUACGCACAUAAAGAGGACAUGUUUGUCUGACUAAGGCCUGCCUUAGUAGAAAAAUAUACAUUCGAUUCUUAAAAAAUAGAUCUUAUAUCACUUUUUUUUGCAGCUAACGUUCUCGUUUUUUAUUUUUUUUUUUUUGAUAUUAUACAAUGGAAUAUUCUUUUUUUUGAUUCAGCUGCGCUUUAAUAUGUUUAGGUUUUUUUUUUUUAAAGGGGUCUGCCUUCGAGUGUGCUCAGGGCAUAUAAUCAGAUCUAAGCUAGUUUUAUUUCGUACCACCUCUCCCAUAUCACUCAUAAUAAUAUGCAUAAGUGAUUUUCAUUUAAUUAUUAUUUUUUUUUUUAAUCCUUUAUGACUAGCGUUUAUAAUAAUUCCAUUAAAAAGAUAAUAUACAUAUUGAAAACUCAAACCAUAAUAAUUGGGAGAUAAAGCUGCUGUUACGUUUCCAAUAUUCAUUUAAAAAGCAUCCAUCAGAGAAAUGGAGUUUUGAUCUUGAGAAUACGAUGCCAACAAUCCAGUUCUAAAAUACAAUACGGCUCAGUCUUAUAGUUUGGUUAUUUUUUUUGUCAUCGCGCUAAUUAUACUUUUUUGCGCUGUGCCCACUUUUUUUUUUUUUUGGAUUGUUGCUCGAUUCUUUUUCUCCUUUUUUCCACCUAGAAUUCUCAAAUUGAUUUAUAAUUCGAUUAAUUAAUAAUUAUUAAUUAAAUUCUUAUUAUAAAUUUUGUUAUUGUAAUUUUGAAAAUUCUAGAAUCGAGAGAACUUACGCAAUGAGAUUGGUGGUAUAUAUCACUUUUUUCUGUUGUGUUUUCUUCUGAACAACGCACGCAAAUUUUUUUUUUUGGAAUACGUAUUUAUUUAAUUGUAGUUUUUCUUUUCUACGACCAUUUUCUUUUCUGUUUUUUUUUUUUUUCAUUUUCAACUAUUCGCACAUGCAAACAAGUGAAACAAUUGCACAACGUGUCCGCAAACUCUUGAUAUAAUAUAUUUAUAUGAAAAACGAGGAUAAAAAAUUCAUUAAUUUAACUUAUCAAAUACAGCACCAAUUUUCUUUUCUUUUCUAAUCAACAUUUUCCGAAUUUGUCGUUUUUGCUUUUUAAUACAUCGUUCGAUAGACUGAAAUUAACUAUUCCAAGCAACUUUUUAUUAUUAAACAUAAUUUUUAUUAAAAACAAUAAUGAAAACAAAAACUGUAUUAAGGGGGGAACACCAGUUGUAACUUUCGAAAAAUCAAUUUUUUUUUUUGUGCAUUUUCUUAAAGUACACAUAUUUAGAAAUGUGUCUGUAAAUUUCAAAGUUGAUCCGGUGAAAAAUAAAUGAGAUAUACAGAACACUGCAUCGGCGCGUCCCGUGGCUUCAUACAAGGUGGCCAGCCAUAACUGACCCUAACGACAGAUGGCCUUUUCCUAUGAUUUAGAAACGGCAACCACUGCGGAAGAGUUAUUAUAUGGUCCAAGAAUCGAUGACUCUUUGUAACUUGGAAACAAAAUUUCUUCUGAACAAAAAAAAACGAAGUAUACUUGCAGAAUGCUGGUCACCGCAAUUCGCCUUUUUUCUUAAGACGCCACUUCAAUGGCUCAUAUCUCCAAAAGUUUUUGUUAAAAAAAUUUUUUUUUUCUUUUAAAUUACAGCUUUUUACAUGUACUUUUAACUAAUAAAUAGUAUUCUUUAAAAAGAUUCAUUGUUCUUUUGGAAAAUAUUCUUGAAAAAAGCAUUAUUUUUUGAGUUACAACUGGUGUUCCCCCCUUAACCGUUAUAUUUUUGUAUUUAAUAAUUUUAAUAUUGAAUGAUGAAAUUGUCAGCCAAAAAGAGUUAAUUUCAGUUAGCGGAUUCUAAAUAGGUUUUUAAAUAUUUUUUUAAUAUUAAUCUUUUUUUUAUCAUAAAAGUUGUUUUAGAUCUUAAAUUUUUUUUCUCUCUAAUAUUAUAAUCGUUCUUAUUAUUUUUUUUUUUUUUGUUGUUCGUUGAUUUUUCUAGUUUAAUAAUUACAGUAGUCAACAUGAUGCGUUGAAGAUUGCCACGAAAUUCACACGCUUUUUUCUCAGGUGCUUAGGAUUAUUUUGGAUUGUUGUCGCGCUUAUUAUUUUUUUUUUUUUUCUUUUAUCGACAAAAUUAGUCUUGGCGCGACUCAGGUACAUAUUAAGGCCCGUUCCUUUAUUUUUAUUAUUUAUUUUCUUUAAUCUUGUUGGACAAGUUAUUCAGCUAAGUCAC